AAGCGCCGUUUUCCUGGAUACGAGCAGGAUCAUCACAGAAACACGCAUGUCUUAGUGGCGUUCUAUUUUCUUUCUGCUGUCAUAUUUAAUGCAAAGCACCAGAUACUGAGCACUUCAAGAGGCCGGAACGCCUGGUAUCCCGUGCAGUGGAGGACCCAGGAGAGAAUGGGACAGGGUCUCAGUCCGAGUCCCCACAGAGGCAAGAUUCAACAGACUUGAGUACUCUGCCAGAAGUUCUUGUAGCUCAUCAGGUUAAGGAGCCGCCCUUGUCUCUGGGAGAAUGUGAACUUCCAUAUGCCACAGAUGUCGCUGUAAAAAGAAAAAGCAAAAUGAGUACUCUGCCAAACUGUUAUAAAAGUUUCUAAUGUUUAGGUUUCUGGAUUUAUCGUGGACUGGUAACAAUGGGACUGUCACCGAUCCAGGCCCACACUAAGGAACACUACUUCAUGUAUCAAACUAUGGAACAUACUUUACUUCAUAGCCUCUUUCAAAGUUUUCUUUUUGACUAGUACUGUUCUCUGAAAGAUGUAAGACAGAACAUUUAUACUGGCUUUUGAAUAUCCUAGAGCUUUUGAUUAAUUUGAUAUUAGUUUAGAAUUAGAUAACUCAUACCAAUAAAAUUAGAUUGAAAGAAUAAAUGUGAUUAUUAAAGAUUUGAUUUCUAAAUCA
Phacochoerus africanus (Common warthog) is the source of this 669-nucleotide long non-coding RNA. RefSeq lists it as uncharacterized. Lineage: Eukaryota; Metazoa; Chordata; Mammalia; Artiodactyla; Suidae. The transcript has 2 exons. The record is from RefSeq and is a predicted model, not a curated record.